Molecule: long non-coding RNA, 544 nt
Filed under: Olea europaea subsp. europaea
Lineage: Eukaryota; Viridiplantae; Streptophyta; Magnoliopsida; Lamiales; Oleaceae
Source: RNAcentral
CUCUUAUGUUUUGAAGCGGUGUCUGGUUUGAAAAUUAAUUUGGGAAAGUCUGAGGCUAUUCCAGUUGGGGAGGUUAAUAAUGUCGAGGAGCUGGCUGAUAUAUUGGGUUGUAAGGUUGCGCAGUUGCCGAUGUCAUAUCUAGGACUCCCAUUAGGGGCACGAUUUAAAAGUACCCAUAUCUGGAAUGGUAUUGUGGAAAGGAUGGAGAGAAGGUUAGCAGGGUGGAAGCGUAUGUACCUUUCUAAGGGUGGUAGACUUACUCUCAUUAAAUCCACUCUCUCCAAUCUCCCUACUUACUUUUUGUCAUUGUUCCCCAUUCCGAUAGCAGUGGCAAAGAGACUAGAGAGGCUUCAAAGAGAAUUUCUGUGGGCAGGGUUGGGAGAGGAGAGGAGACUCCAUUUGGUCAAUUGGGGAGUUGUUUGUUUGCCGAUGAGGAUGGGAGGUCUUGGGGUGAGGAGCCUUGUGUUGUUCAAUAAAGCCUUAUUAGGCAAGUGGUUGUGGCGAUUUGGAGUGGAAAGGGACAGUUUCUGGAGAGAAAUAAUUG